UAAUAUAGUAAAUCACGGAUUAAUUAGGGAUAAUAUAGGCAAACAUGUCAUCUAUUUUUUAAAUUAAAUAUUAUUAAUUUUUUAAUAUAUAAAUGGCUUAUAAUAAUUAAUUAGGGACGAUAUAAUAAAACGUCAUAAAUAUCUAUUUUUAAAACUAAAUAUUAUUAAUUCUAAUAUAUAAAUGACUUACAAUAAUUAAUUAGGGAUAUAGUAAAAAAAUAUUAUUAAUUUUAAUAUAGAAACAACUUAUAAUAAUUAAUUAGGGGUAAUAUAGUAAAUCAUAGAGCAAAUAGGGAUAAUAUAGACAGACAUGCCAUCUAUUUUUUAAUUAAAUAUUAUUAAUUUUUAAUUAUAUAAAUGACUUAUAAUAAUUAAUUAGGGAUGAUAUAGUAAAAUCACGGUUAAAGUAGUUGAAACAAAUGUCAUAAAUAUCUAUUUUUUUAAUUAAAUAUUAUUAAUUCUAAUAUAUAAAUGACUUAUAAUAAUUAAUUAGAGUUAAUAUAAUAAAAAAAAUACUAUUAAUUCUAAUAUAUCAAUGACUUAUAAUAAUUAAUUAGGGGUAAUAUAUAAAUCAUGGAGCAAAUAAGGGUAAUAUAGUAAAUGACGAAGCAGUGGUCGAAACCAAAUUACUUAUAAUAAUUAAUUAGAGGUAAUAUAGUAAAUUACGGAGCAAUUAGGGGUAAUAUAGGCAGACAUGUCAUCUAUUUUUAAUUAAAUAUUAUUAAUUUUUUAAUACAUAAAUGACUUGUAAUAAUUAAUUAGGGAUGAUAUAGUAAAAUCACGAUUAAAGCAGCUGAAAAAACGUCAUAAAUUUCUAGUUCUUAAUUAAAUAUAUUAAUUAUAAUAUAUAAAUGACUUAUAAUAAUUAAUUAGGGGUAAUAUAAUUAAAAAAAUUAUUAAUUCUAAUAUAUAAAUGACUUAUAAUAAUUAAUUAGGGGUAAUAUAGUAAAUCACGGAGCAAUUAGGGAUAAUAUAGUAAAUGACGAAGCACUGGUNNNNN
This 1000-nucleotide long non-coding RNA is filed under the name Capsicum annuum. RNAcentral's name for it is "long non-coding RNA (CANN_LNC006419)". The record is from RNAcentral. Lineage: Eukaryota; Viridiplantae; Streptophyta; Magnoliopsida; Solanales; Solanaceae.